Molecule: small nuclear RNA, 170 nt
Filed under: Castor canadensis (American beaver)
Lineage: Eukaryota; Metazoa; Chordata; Mammalia; Rodentia; Castoridae
Description: U1 spliceosomal RNA (ENSCCNG00000020226.1)
Rfam family: U1 spliceosomal RNA
About the family: U1 is a small nuclear RNA (snRNA) component of the spliceosome (involved in pre-mRNA splicing).
Source: Rfam by way of RNAcentral
AUACUUACUGGGCAGGGGAGAUACCAUGACCAUAAAGGUGGUUUUCCCAGGGAGAGGCUUAUUUAUCCCUUGUUCUCCAGGUGUGCUGACCCCUGCUAUUUCCCCAAAUGCAGGAAACUGACCUGCAUAAUUUGUGGUACUGGGGGGGACUAUGUUUAUACUCUCCCCUG